Phacochoerus africanus (Common warthog) is the source of this 3926-nucleotide long non-coding RNA. RefSeq lists it as uncharacterized. The record is from RefSeq and is a predicted model, not a curated record. The transcript is spliced from 5 exons. NCBI's taxonomy places the organism in Eukaryota, Metazoa, Chordata, Mammalia, Artiodactyla, Suidae.
AUAACAUUGUAAAUCAACUAUAAUUAAAACAUUUUAAAAACAAGAUGGGUGAAAGACAUUUGAGGUUACAGAGAGUCUGCAGCAGUGAGGCCCCAAUUCCAUCGCUGGCAGUGAAAUCCCCCAAAUUAAAACCCAGCAAAUCAGCGGGUUCCUGCUGCCCAGGGGCCUGAAGACGUCCUUGUCCUUAGGCCCUGCCCACUCAGGACUUGACCAAACCAGCCAGACCUGGGAAAGGAGGGGGAGGGGAAGCGCAUGCUCCUCCGCCCUGUGACUCACUCUGGGGGAGUGGCGGAGAAGGGAUCAGACCCUGGCAUCCCUUUGGCCCAAGGCUAGGCGCUGACUCGGGCCAACAGGGAGGAGCAGACCAGGGCUCUCCCACUGCCAUGACUCACCCCCGCGCCACCGCGCAUCUGCUCUCCAGGGAGCAACGCCCAGGAGGUUUCCAGACACAUCGAGGGGGAUCCGUGUAUUUCACAGCACGCUGCCUCCCGCCCUGGCAGAGGGCAGACCCGGGGCCAGCAGAGUGUCUGCUCUAAGAAUGGAGCUUCCUUUUCCGCCCCAGCCCGCCCCGCUCUUGGCGGCAGGGUUGGGUUUUGGCCUGUUUGCUGAUGCAGAGAAGCGUGCUGGACUGGGUUGGCUGGUGGUGUCUGAGGUUGGAUGAUAAUGGCCCUGAUGAUGAAAUGAUACUUGAAAUGAUAUCUGGGCCAGCCACCGUGCUCAGCACUUUCCACUCACUAUUUCAUUUAAUUUUCACGAGCAGGUGUAAUUAUCAUUCCCAUUUUAGAGUGAGGGAAUUGAGGUGCCUGAGUAGGUGGGGUGCUUGCUUGAGGUCACCCAGAUUGGGAGUGGCGGGGGUGGGACUGGAGUCCUUGUUUUCUCAAGGAGCAGAGUCCAGACUUCCCUGACGGGCACCCUCCUGAUGUGUCCCCAGGAGGAGUCUGGCCUUGCUUUUCUCUAUCCCUGGCUCUUCUUCGCCCCCAGACCUGGCUCCCAGGCCGCCUGUGUACACCUUUCCUGUGACUCUGUCCCACCUGUGCUCCCAGGGCAGGCAGUGGGUGCUCAUGGAGGGUUUGUGAAUGAACCUGUUAUCCAAAGAACUCUGAGUUUACUAGAAUGUUCUUUCCAGGUCCCCCACUGCACCGCUUCAGAGCCAGCGAGUUUUUGGUGAAUAAAUGGAGGCACGAACAUAGGAACGAAUCAUUUCUGUGCCGGAGCCAUGAAAAUUUGGAGGCUCUGUGGUGGGAGGUGGCCCAUGGAGGGCACAACAUCAAGGGCUUCUGGGACCUUGUGCAGAGGGCAGGAUCCAGGCUCAUGCUGUGGGAGAACUAAACUGAAGAGGGCCAUCUUCAAGGACCAAGGGAACCGGAACAUGUUUCUAACUGGAACUCUGGUCUCACACCAUCUCCCUGAACAUGGACUGCGAAAGCCCAAGUAUGGCUACAAGGCUUCUUGCUACAAAAAGGGCCCUCUCCAAGGCACUUCGGUUCCUCUAAAGCCAGGAAGACCAGACUGAGCCCCAACGUAGGAGAGGGCGGCGGCAAAGGCGCGCUCUGCGCUCUGGGAAUUGCAGUCUUCAGACACUUAACACUCAGGUUGAAGCAUAUGACCUACUUUGUGGGCACACUACACUUCCCAGCGUACUUUGCGAAGACUCAGCCGGGAGCUACGCAUGCCCGAUGGUUCCGGCCCAACGGCAGUCGCCGAACCCACGUGGGGUGGCGAGAUCCAAAAGUUUCCAGACACGGUUUGCAGUUCUUUUUUCCUUGAUCACUUUUUUUGGCAAGGACAGACGGCAAUGGUAGCGUAGGGGUUUAAUGCGCUUCUCCUGACUGCAGCGGAGAAACGCUGGACUGGAGGGCAAACUCCAAGGGGACAGGAAGGGGGAGGGAGCCUGGGCCGGAGCGUCCCCAUCCCCCACACCCCGAGCGCUUUAUCCCCUGGGGCACCUCCAGGGACUACUUGCUUGUGCGUCAGCAAGUGGCAGAGCGUCACUUACACGCCCCCACCGCCUUGCCCCUCUCCAUCCCUCCCCUUUUUUUCCUCCUCCUCCACCUCCCUCUCCUCCCUUCCCCUCUCCUCUCCUCGCGAGUCGCAACCCUGCGAGAUCUGGCUCGCUGCUCCCUGGUGCUGAAGCGCUAAAAAUAUAACCAGUAUGUUAGCAACAGCCUUCCCAUUGGUCGGGGACAGGGAGCGGCGACAUCUGAUUGGAUGUUCGAUCCAACCUUUUAGGACUGGGAGGCGGGGGCGUGGAGCCAUGGAGGUCUUGGGGGAAGUGCGUUUGCGCAUUGGGGCGCUGCAAGGGAUACUGGUAUUUGUAGUUAUUUACUAGAGGCAGCCUUAGAAGUAGGUGGGUUUGAAUCCCAAUUCCGCCACCAACCGGGUUAUCUUGAUUGAAAGGCACAAAUUCUCUUUAUACCGUCAGACCUGUCCUCUCGUCCUUAAAAUGGAGAUCGAGAUCCUGUGGGGAUUAGAUAUGAUACUGUAUGUAAAGCUUGGCUCAAAUAGUUGCUGUUCUUAAUUUAAAGGUCACCGUUCUGGCCAGCUUGCAUCCUUCCCUUACUGUGCUCUUCAGUGUGUAUACCCCAAAAGGAAACCUUACAAGACAGCAUGAGAAAGUUGAGGGUGUAUCACACGGGAAGGAGGGAUGGAGUCCAUAUAAGCAGAUAAAGUGUAGCGUCUCCUUCCAUUAAGUGCAGGCUGAGGGAAGGCAGACUGAAUCCCUGGAAGGAAGGCGUUGAAUUUUUGCCCGUUCCUGCAUUUAUCUCCCCUGCAGUGCUGGAAACACACCAACGUUGGGCAAAGAAACCCAAACUGAGAAAUCCAGCCUCUUUGGCAAAGAAGAGCUCUGGGUAAAGGGUUAGUAUAUAAGUAGGAAAAAAAUAAAGUAGAGGGGAAGAAGACAAUCACCAUUCUUAAUUGCUGAUGUCUCCAUUUACCAUGUGGUAAGGAGGACAUUUUUCUCUCCCCCGUCGUAUGAUUUCAUCUUGCCAGGGCUUAAUUAUGAGCUGAAUUCCUACUCAGGCAUUCCCGGGUCCUCUCCCACUUUGAAUAAUCAUACGUUGAAAAGCACACACCUUGUUUUCAAAACGGUGAGCUUCAAAAGGAAGCAUGUCCAUGGAGAGGGUGGAGGCAACUCCCCUGUCUGAGAGUAAGCAAGUUAUGCCAGAUGUUUUGUUGUGACAAGUUAGGCUGGUCAUAAUUAGCCCCAAUUAACUCUCAGGGGGGUGAGUCACUCCUUCAUACACAUGUAGUGUGAGAGAUUUUGUAGUUUCUUUUCAGUUAUCCGAGAAAAUACUCAGUUUGAUUCUUCAGAUCCACUGCUCCAACUGGGCAGGAGCAAAGACAGCCACAACAGAAAUUGGCUUUGGAGAAAAGUGAUUGGAGGGAUGCUGAGGGCAAAUAAUUUGCUAUUUAUUGACCUGAUAUGAGUGAACUCUUAUAAAAGAGACAAGUGAACAAACCUGUCUUUAGCUAAAGCACUGAAACUACAGUGUGCAAAGAAAGCAUCGGUUUAGCCUUGAUGGUGGCAGACAGGCCACUUGUUGAUAAGGAAUUGAUUAACUGGGAAAAGAUGGGAACUGGAGUCUUUUUUUUAGGCAGGAAAAUUCCAACCAAGGCAAAGAAUCUUUCACCUUUAUGUCCUUUGUUCAAAUUGUUAAAAAGUUACAGGUCAGAAUAUAGUGACAUAGAAUCUCUUGGAAAUUUACUCAUUUCAACUUGACUUCCUGGGAAGUUAAUUUUCCUAAUUCAGAAGCUGCUGAAUGGCAGGCCAAGGUCCAUAUCUGGUGGAUGUAUUGCCUUGGCAUAUACUGACACUGUCAAAAAUUUUUUUUUGGCCACACUCAAGGCAUGCAGGGAUCAAACCGACACCAUAGCUGUGACCAGGGCCACACCGUGACAAUGCUGGAUCCUUAACCCAGUGAACC